AAUUUCUUCACUCACAAGUUUUCGCGAUAGUUUGAAAUUUUUGGUUCAUGAGACACGUUGUACUAUAUUCUGCUGUUUCCGCAGUGAUUUGAUUGUUUGUGUGUAUUUAGAAGCGAUGGUUGCAGAAAAAGAUCGAAGAAUGCUGCAGCUUAUUAUUAUUUAAUAGCUUCCCGAAAAGAUCUCAUAAAUUUUGGGUACGCGAUUGGAUUAAGCAAAGACAAAAACACAAUUUAAUGACUAGCUUAUUGGAAAAGUUAGAAUUAAAAGAUCAGGAGUGUUACAAAAAUUUUCUCAGGAUGUCGGCGGCCGAUUUUUAGUAUUUACUUAGCAAAAUAAAACCUGCGAUAGCAAAAGAGAAUACAUUCAUGCGAAAUUCAAUUCCAGCAGCUGAGAGAUUAGCACUGACUCUUCGGUUUCUAGCAACAGGUGAUAGCUACCACUCACUUAUGUAUUUAUUUCGUAUACCUGUUUGUACUAUAUCAAUAAUAAUAUAUGAAGUGUGCUCCGCAAUUUAUAAUAUUCUAAAAGAAGAAUACCUACAUACACCAACCACUAAAGAAGAGUGGUUAAAAAUUUCACAGCACAUUGAGGAUAAAUGGAACUUUCCGAACUGCUUAGGUGCCCUUGAUGGUAAACAUAUACAUAGUAAAGCACCUCAACAUAGUGGAAGUCUGAAACACAGAAUAUCGGUUUUGUUUCAGAGAAUAGUGAAACUCACGAACAGCAAGUGAGACAAAUAUUUCAAAUGAAACACGACGCAUAUCACGUAUACACGUUGAGACUUGUUCAUGAAAUAAAUGUCUCGUAAAAUAA
Long non-coding RNA from Anthonomus grandis grandis, 813 nucleotides. RefSeq lists it as uncharacterized. The record is from RefSeq and is a predicted model, not a curated record. NCBI's taxonomy places the organism in Eukaryota, Metazoa, Arthropoda, Insecta, Coleoptera, Curculionidae. The transcript has 3 exons.